This 428-nucleotide ribosomal RNA is filed under the name uncultured bacterium. RNAcentral describes it as "bacterial SSU rRNA". It matches the Rfam family "Bacterial small subunit ribosomal RNA", at positions 355 to 775 of the family's 1533-position model. The record is from RNAcentral.
UGGGGAAUAUUGGACAAUGGGCGAAAGCCUGAUCCAGCCAUGCCGCGUGUGUGAAGAAGGUCUUCGGAUUGUAAAGCACUUUAAGUUGGGAGGAAGGGUUGUAGCCUAAUACGUUGCAACUUUGACGUUACCGACAGAAUAAGCACCGGCUAACUUCGUGCCAGCAGCCGCGGUAAUACGAAGGGUGCAAGCGUUAAUCGGAAUUACUGGGCGUAAAGCGCGCGUAGGUGGUUUGAUAAGUUGGAUGUGAAAGCCCCGGGCUCAACCUGGGAAUUGCAUCCAAAACUGUCUGACUAGAGUACGGUAGAGGGUGGUGGAAUUUCCUGUGUAGCGGCGAAAUGCGUAGAUAUAGGAAGGAACAUCAGUGGCGAAGGCGACCACCUGGACUGAUACUGACACUGAGGUGCGAAAGCGUGGGGAGCAAACAG